This 763-nucleotide long non-coding RNA is filed under the name Olea europaea subsp. europaea. Lineage: Eukaryota; Viridiplantae; Streptophyta; Magnoliopsida; Lamiales; Oleaceae. The record is from RNAcentral.
CCAAUUUCCAAUUUCCAAUUUCAAGAAGACAGUAACAAAGUAGUAAGUCAAAGUCAAACAAGGGAAUGAAGGGAUUUAAAUGAGUUAGUGAUAUUCUCGUUAGAACCUGACCAUUUUAGAAUUAUUCAGAGAGCCAAUGUGGGAGAAAGAAAAAAUGUGAAGAAUGAAAAGAAAAACAGAGAAGAAUGGGAAAUUUGAAUGAAGAAGAAAGAGAAGAAAACGAGACGAGAGUGAGAGGCGGUCAGACGGAGCAAGAUUGAAACGAGAGUAGAAUGAGAACCACCGAGCAAGAUCGAAGGAACUAGGAAGAAGUCUUCAAGAUUGAUUUCAAUUUCAAAUUUGUUCAACUACAGUUGGCAAGAAAAAAUUCAAUUCAAGCGUGCUGAGGGUUUUACCUUCUUUGCGAGGUAGCAGGUUUGGAAUUUUUUUUUUUCCUGUCUCCUUUUGAAUUAAAGACAACCCUUUAUGGUUCUGAAACUCUUCACAUAUGUAUUCGAACUCCAAACCCAAUUUAAGUUGUAUGACUCUUGUAGAAAAAUGUUAAAAGGGAUAAUGUUUUUCUCGUAGUUGUUAGGCUUCGGUUGCUUCAGAGUUUUCAUUAACUGUUCUCAGUUUUCUUUAAUUUUUGGGUUCGCCGGAGUUAGCCACUUAGCCCAUUUUUGUUCUGCUUUAAAUUGGGGAAAAACUAUAUCCCAGUAAUUAUAUUGUAGUUCAGAUUCAAGUAUAAGUAAUCGUUGAAUGAAAAACUUUUUAUUAAUUGCAC